AAAACUUUCAACAACGGAUCUCUUGGUUCUGGCAUCGAUGAAGAACGCAGCGAAAUGCGAUAAGUAAUGUGAAUUGCAGAAUUCAGUGAAUCAUCGAAUCUUUGAACGCACAUUGCGCCCUGUGGUAUUCCGCAGGGCAUGCCUGUUCGAGCGUCAUUA
This 159-nucleotide ribosomal RNA is filed under the name fungal sp. 2.20.4E. RNAcentral's name for it is "5.8S ribosomal RNA". It matches the Rfam family "5.8S ribosomal RNA". From Rfam's summary of the family: 5.8S ribosomal RNA (5.8S rRNA) is a component of the large subunit of the eukaryotic ribosome. It is transcribed by RNA polymerase I as part of the 45S precursor that also contains 18S and 28S rRNA. The record is from RNAcentral. Lineage: Eukaryota; Fungi.